RNAcentral lists this ribosomal RNA (404 nucleotides) under Actinomycetes bacterium. RNAcentral describes it as "Actinobacteria bacterium partial 16S ribosomal RNA". It matches the Rfam family "Bacterial small subunit ribosomal RNA", at positions 355 to 776 of the family's 1533-position model. The record is from RNAcentral. Lineage: Bacteria; Bacillati; Actinomycetota; Actinomycetes.
UGGGGAAUAUUGGACAAUGGGCGCAAGCCUGAUCCAGCCAUGCCGCGUGAGUGAUGAAGGCCCUAGGGUUGUAAAGCUCUUUCACCGGUGAAGAUAAUGACGGUAACCGGAGAAGAAGCCCCGGCUAACUUCGUGCCAGCAGCCGCGGUAAUACGAAGGGGGCUAGCGUUGUUCGGAUUUACUGGGCGUAAAGCGCACGUAGGCGGACUAUUAAGUCAGGGGUGAAAUCCCGGGGCUCAACCCCGGAACUGCCUUUGAUACUGGUAGUCUUGAGUUCGAGAGAGGGGAGUGGAAUUCCGAGUGUAGAGGUGAAAUUCGUAGAUAUUCGGAGGAACACCAGUGGCGAAGGCGGCUCACUGGCUAGAUACUGACGCUGAGGUGCGAAAGCGGGGGGAGCAAACAGG